Molecule: non-coding RNA, 125 nt
Organism: Triticum aestivum (bread wheat)
Lineage: Eukaryota; Viridiplantae; Streptophyta; Magnoliopsida; Poales; Poaceae
Source: Rfam
GUACUACUUUCUUUGUCCGGAAAUACUCGUCGGAGAAAUGGAUAAAAAUGGAUGUAUCUAGAACUAAAAUACCUCUAGAUACAUCAAUUUAUCCGAUAAAUAUUUCCGGGCGGAGGGAGUAGUAC